RNAcentral lists this ribosomal RNA (180 nucleotides) under uncultured bacterium. Its description in RNAcentral is "partial 16S ribosomal RNA". It matches the Rfam family "Bacterial small subunit ribosomal RNA", at positions 1307 to 1500 of the family's 1533-position model. The record is from RNAcentral.
GCAACUCGCCUACAUGAAGCUGGAAUUGCUAGUAAUCAUAGGUCAGCAUACUAUGGUGAAUACGUUCCCGGGCCUUGUACACACCGCCCGUCACACCAUGAGAGUUGAGAAUACCCGAAGUCCAUGUUAAAGUGGCCGAAGGUAGGCUUGAUGAUUGGGGUGAAGUCGUAACAAGGUAUC